GGGUUGUGAGGUUAAGCGACUAAGCGUACACGGUGGAUGCCCUGGCAGUCAGAGGCGAUGAAGGACGUGCUAAUCUGCGAAAAGCGUCGGUAAGGUGAUAUGAACCGUUAUAACCGGCGAUGUCCGAAUGGGGAAACCCAGUGCAAUUCGUUGCACUAUCGUUAACUGAAUACAUAGGUUAACGAGGCGAACCGGGGGAACUGAAACAUCUAAGUACCCCGAGGAAAAGAAAUCAACCGAGAUUCCCCCAGUAGCGGCGAGCGAACGGGGAGCAGCCCAGAGUCUGAAUCAGCUUGUGUGUUAGUGGAACGGUCUGGAAAGUCCGACGGUACAGGGUGAUAGUCCCGUACACCAAAAUGCACAGGUUGUGAACUCGAAGAGUAGGGCGGGACACGUGGUAUCCUGUCUGAAUAUGGGGGGACCAUCCUCCAAGGCUAAAUACUCCUGACUGACCGAUAGUGAACCAGUACCGUGAGGGAAAGGCGAAAAGAACCCCGGCGAGGGGAGUGAAAAAGAACCUGAAACCGUGUACGUACAAGCAGUGGGAGCACCUUCGGGUGUGACUGCGUACCUUUUGUAUAAUGGGUCAGCGACUUAUAUUCUGUAGCAAGGUUAACCGUAUAGGGGAGCCGCAGGGAAACCGAGUCUUAACUGGGCGUUAAGUUGCAGGGUAUAGACCCGAAACCCGGUGAUCUAGCCAUGGGCAGGUUGAAGGUUGGGUAACACUAACUGGAGGACCGAACCGACUAAUGUUGAAAAAUUAGCGGAUGACUUGUGGCUGGGGGUGAAAGGCCAAUCAAACCGGGAGAUAGCUGGUUCUCCCCGAAAGCUAUUUAGGUAGCGCCUCGUGAACUCAUCUUCGGGGUAGAGCACUGUUUCGGCUAGGGGGUCAUCCCGACUUACCAACCCGAUGCAAACUACGAAUACCGAAGAAUGUUAUCACGGGAGACACACGGCGGGUGCUAACGUCCGUCGUGAAGAGGGAAACAACCCAGACCGCCAGCUAAGGUCCCAAAGUCAUGGUUAAGUGGGAAACGAUGUGGGAAGGCACAGACAGCCAGGAUGUUGGCUUAGAAGCAGCCAUCAUUUAAAGAAAGCGUAAUAGCUCACUGGUCGAGUCGGCCUGCGCGGAAGAUGUAACGGGGCUAAACCAUGCACCGAAGCUGCGGCAGCGACACUAUGUGUUGUUGGGUAGGGGAGCGUUCUGUAAGCCUGCGAAGGUGACCUGUGAGGGUUGCUGGAGGUAUCAGAAGUGCGAAUGCUGACAUAAGUAACGAUAAAGCGGGUGAAAAGCCCGCUCGCCGGAAGACCAAGGGUUCCUGUCCAACGUUAAUCGGGGCAGGGUGAGUCGACCCCUAAGGCGAGGCCGAAAGGCGUAGUCGAUGGGAAACAGGUUAAUAUUCCUGUACUUGGUGUUACUGCGAAGGGGGGACGGAGAAGGCUAUGUUAGCCGGGCGACGGUUGUCCCGGUUUAAGCAUGUAGGCUGGUUGUCCAGGCAAAUCCGGAUAAUCAAGGCUGAGGUGUGAUGACGAGGCACUACGGUGCUGAAGUAACAAAUGCCCUGCUUCCAGGAAAAGCCUCUAAGCAUCAGGUAACAUCAAAUCGUACCCCAAACCGACACAGGUGGUCAGGUAGAGAAUACCAAGGCGCUUGAGAGAACUCGGGUGAAGGAACUAGGCAAAAUGGUGCCGUAACUUCGGGAGAAGGCACGCUGGUGUGUAGGUGAAGUCCCUGCGGAUGGAGCUGAGACCAGUCGAAGAUACCAGCUGGCUGCAACUGUUUAUUAAAAACACAGCACUGUGCAAACACGAAAGUGGACGUAUACGGUGUGACGCCUGCCCGGUGCCGGAAGGUUAAUUGAUGGGGUUAUCCGUAAGGAGAAGCUCUUGAUCGAAGCCCCGGUAAACGGCGGCCGUAACUAUAACGGUCCUAAGGUAGCGAAAUUCCUUGUCGGGUAAGUUCCGACCUGCACGAAUGGCGUAAUGAUGGCCAGGCUGUCUCCACCCGAGACUCAGUGAAAUUGAACUCGCUGUGAAGAUGCAGUGUACCCGCGGCAAGACGGAAAGACCCCGUGAACCUUUACUAUAGCUUGACACUGAACAUUGAGCCUUGAUGUGUAGGAUAGGUGGGAGGCUUUGAAGCGUGGACGCCAGUCUGCGUGGAGCCAACCUUGAAAUACCACCCUUUAAUGUUUGAUGUUCUAACGUUGGCCCCUGACCGGGGUUGCGGACAGUGUCUGGUGGGUAGUUUGACUGGGGCGGUCUCCUCCCAAAGCGUAACGGAGGAGCACGAAGGUUAGCUAAUCCUGGUCGGACAUCAGGAGGUUAGUGCAAUGGCAUAAGCUAGCUUGACUGCGAGCGUGACGGCGCGAGCAGGUGCGAAAGCAGGUCAUAGUGAUCCGGUGGUUCUGAAUGGAAGGGCCAUCGCUCAACGGAUAAAAGGUACUCCGGGGAUAACAGGCUGAUACCGCCCAAGAGUUCAUAUCGACGGCGGUGUUUGGCACCUCGAUGUCGGCUCAUCACAUCCUGGGGCUGAAGUAGGUCCCAAGGGUAUGGCUGUUCGCCAUUUAAAGUGGUACGCGAGCUGGGUUUAGAACGUCGUGAGACAGUUCGGUCCCUAUCUGCCGUGGGCGCUGGAGAAUUGAGGGGGGCUGCUCCUAGUACGAGAGGACCGGAGUGGACGCAUCACUGGUGUUCGGGUUGUCAUGCCAAUGGCACUGCCCGGUAGCUAAAUGCGGAAGAGAUAAGUGCUGAAAGCAUCUAAGCACGAAACUUGCCCCGAGAUGAGUUCUCCCUGAGACUUUAAGUCUCCUGAAGGAACGUUAAAGACGAUGACGUUGAUAGGCCGGGUGUGUAAGCGCAGCGAUGCGUUGAGCUAACCGGUACUAAUGAACCGUGAGGCUUAACCUUACAACGCCGAAG
Molecule: ribosomal RNA, 2922 nt
Filed under: Klebsiella pneumoniae
Lineage: Bacteria; Pseudomonadati; Pseudomonadota; Gammaproteobacteria; Enterobacterales; Enterobacteriaceae
Description: bacterial LSU rRNA
Rfam family: Bacterial large subunit ribosomal RNA
Source: RNAcentral